This is a non-coding RNA of Pelobates cultripes (western spadefoot toad), 491 nucleotides long. The record is from the annotation of a GenBank genome assembly. Lineage: Eukaryota; Metazoa; Chordata; Amphibia; Anura; Pelobatidae.
CAAUAGUUAAAUAUCCCAAUGGGCCUACUUUCUACAAAUACAUACUUUUGUAUAGAUAUUUUGGAUUCUAUAAAUGCUAUUAAAGUUAUGGUGUCAGCAUGCCUAACUUGGCUAAAGUUAAGUUUUAAUAUCUCAAUUCACUGUUUGCCAUAUUAAUUCUAUAUCUUCCAAAAAUGUAUUUAAAUCCUUGACAUAUAAAGCAUUUUCUCAGCCAACAUGAAUUUAUGAGCAAAUGUUUGAAAAAAAUUUAUACAAUUAAAUGUGCUAUUGUUACAAUGAUACAAAAAAGUUAAAGUUGGGAAAACACAUUUCAUGAUGAAUUGGCCAGUAGUGAUGUCCCGAACGAUUCGCCAAACGGUUCGCGAACGUUUAGCCGCGAACGGUUCGCCACGGACUCAUCAUUGAGUAAACUUUGACCCUGUACCUCACAGUCAGCAGACACAUUCCAGCCAAUCAGCAGCAGUCCCUCCCUCCCAGACCCUCCAACUUCC